RNAcentral lists this ribosomal RNA (253 nucleotides) under uncultured bacterium. Its description in RNAcentral is "partial 16S ribosomal RNA". It matches the Rfam family "Bacterial small subunit ribosomal RNA", at positions 524 to 776 of the family's 1533-position model. The record is from RNAcentral.
UACGAAGGGUGCUAGCGUUGUUCGGAAUUACUGGGCGUAAAGCGUGCGUAGGCGGGCAUUUAAGUCGGAUGUGAAAUCCCCGGGCUCAACCUGGGAACUGCAUUCGAGACUGGAUGCCUAGAGUAUGGUAGAGGAAAGUGGAACUCCCGGUGUAGCGGUGAAAUGCGUAGAUAUCGGGAAGAACACCAGUGGCGAAGGCGGCUUUCUGGACCAAUACUGACGCUGAGGUACGAAAGCGUGGGGAGCAAACAGG